GACGAACGCUGGCGGCGUGCUUAACACAUGCAAGUCGAACGGUAAAGCCCUUCGGGGUACACGAGUGGCGAACGGGUGAGUAACACGUGGGUGAUCUGCCCUGCACUUCGGGAUAAGCCUGGGAAACUGGGUCUAAUACCGGAUAGGACCCUGGGAUGCAUGUCCUGGGGUGGAAAGCUUUUGCGGUGUGGGAUGGGCCCGCGGCCUAUCAGCUUGUUGGUGGGGUGAUGGCCUACCAAGGCGACGACGGGUAGCCGGCCUGGGAGGGUGACCGGCCACGCUGGGACUGAGAUACGGCCCAGACUCCGACGGGAGGCAGCAGUGGGGAAUAUUGCACAAUGGGCGCAAGCCUGAUGCAGCGACGCCGCGUGAGGGAUGACGGCCUUCGGGUUGUAAACCUCUUUCAGCACCGACGAAGCGCAAGUGACGGUAGGUGCAGAAGAAGGACCGGCCAACUACGUGCCAGCCGCCGCCGUAA
RNAcentral lists this ribosomal RNA (478 nucleotides) under uncultured bacterium. RNAcentral's name for it is "partial 16S ribosomal RNA". It matches the Rfam family "Bacterial small subunit ribosomal RNA", at positions 28 to 523 of the family's 1533-position model. The record is from RNAcentral.